UACGAAGGGGGCUAGCGUUGUUCGGAAUCACUGGGCGUAAAGCGCACGUAGGCGGAUUGUUAAGUCCGGGGUGAAAUCCCGAGGCUCAACCUCGGAACUGCCUUUGAUACUGGCGAGCUAGAGUCCGGGAGAGGUGAGUGGAACUGCGAGUGUAGAGGUGAAAUUCGCAGAUAUUCGCAAGAACACCAGUGGCGAAGGCGGCUCACUGGCCCGGAACUGACGCUGAGGGGCGAAAGCGUGGGGAGCAAACAGG
Molecule: ribosomal RNA, 253 nt
Filed under: uncultured bacterium
Lineage: Bacteria
Description: partial 16S ribosomal RNA
Rfam family: Bacterial small subunit ribosomal RNA
Source: RNAcentral